RNAcentral lists this transfer RNA (69 nucleotides) under Tropidomya abbreviata. Its description in RNAcentral is "tRNA-Leu". Lineage: Eukaryota; Metazoa; Mollusca; Bivalvia; Poromyidae. The record is from RNAcentral.
GUUAAUAUGGCAGAAUUAAUGCAUUAAAUUUAAGCUUUAAAGAUAGAAAAUAUUAUUUUCUUAUUAAUA